Molecule: ribosomal RNA, 837 nt
Filed under: uncultured bacterium
Lineage: Bacteria
Description: bacterial SSU rRNA
Rfam family: Bacterial small subunit ribosomal RNA
Source: RNAcentral
AAUCAACGCUGGCGGCGUGCCUAACACAUGCAAGUCGAACGAGAAAGUGGAGCAAUCCAUGAGUACAGUGGCGCACGGGUGAGUAACACGUGACUAACCUACCCUUGAGUGGGGGAUAACUGAGGGAAACCUUAGCUAAUACCGCAUAAUACCUACGGGUCAAAGGAGCAAUUCGCUUAAGGAGGGGGUCGCGGCCGAUUAGUUAGUUGGCGGGGUAAUGGCCCACCAAGACGAUGAUCGGUAUCCGGCCUGAGAGGGCGCACAGACACACUGGAACUGAAACACGGUCCAGACUCCUACGGGAGGCAGCAGUGGGGAAUUUUGCGCAAUGGGGGAAACCCUGACGCAGCAACGCCGCGUGGAGGAUGAAGUCCCUCGGGACGUAAACUCCUUUCGAUCGGGACGAUUAUGACGGUACCGGAAGAAGAAGCCCCGGCUAACUUCGUGCCAGCAGCCGCGGUAAUACGAGGGGGGCGAGCGUUGUUCGGAAUUAUUGGGCGUAAAGGGUGCGUAGGCGGUUUUGUAAGUCUUAUGUGAAAUCUAUGGGCUCAACUCAUAGACUGCAUGAGAAACUGCAGGGCUUGAGUGUGGGAGAGGUGAGUGGAAUUCCUGGUGUAGCGGUGAAAUGCGUAGAUAUCAGGAGGAACACCUGUGGCGAAAGCGGCUCACUGGUCCACAACUGACGUUGAUGCACGAAAGCUAGGGGAGCAAACAGGAUUAGAUACCCUGGUAGUCCUAGCCUUAAACGAUGACUGCUUGGUGUGACGGGUACCCAAUCCCGCCGUGCCGUAGCUAACGCGUUAAGCAGUCCGCCUGGGGAGUACGGUCGCAAGGCUG